AGUGAACGCUGGCGGUAGGCCUAACACAUGCAAGUCGAACGGCAGCACAGUAAGAGCUUGCUCUUACGGGUGGCGAGUGGCGGACGGGUGAGGAAUACAUCGGAAUCUACUUUUUCGUGGGGGAUAACGUAGGGAAACUUACGCUAAUACCCCAUACGACCUACGUGUGAAAGCAGGGGAUCUUCGGACCUUGCGCGAUUGAAUGAGCCGAUGUCGGAUUAGCUAGUUGGCGGGGUAAAGGCCCACCAAGGCGACGAUCCGUAGCUGGUCUGAGAGGAUGAUCAGCCACACUGGAACUGAGACACGGUCCAGACUCCUACGGGAGGCAGCAGUGGGGAAUAUUGGACAAUGGGCGCAAGCCUGAUCCAGCCAUACCGCGUGGGUGAAGAAGGCCUUCGGGUUGUAAAGCCCUUUUGUUGGGAAAGAAAAGCAGCAGGUUAAUACCCCGAUGUUCUGACGGUACCCAAAGAAUAAGCACCGGCUAACUUCGUG
This 492-nucleotide ribosomal RNA is filed under the name uncultured bacterium. RNAcentral's name for it is "partial 16S ribosomal RNA". It matches the Rfam family "Bacterial small subunit ribosomal RNA", at positions 29 to 507 of the family's 1533-position model. The record is from RNAcentral.